Bactrocera neohumeralis is the source of this 736-nucleotide long non-coding RNA. RefSeq lists it as uncharacterized. The transcript has 3 exons. Lineage: Eukaryota; Metazoa; Arthropoda; Insecta; Diptera; Tephritidae. The record is from RefSeq and is a predicted model, not a curated record.
UGUUUAAGUUUGGAACGACUUCUGAAGUUUUUUGCUGCAUUAAGAAUCUCGCAUACAUAAAGAAUUCGGGUAUAAAGUCGUUACGAUUUUGUGCAGGAUAGGAUCUUCAUCUUAAUCCAUUAAUUUGGCUAAAAUAACUCUGUCGAUUUGGGUUGGUCUAAUUUUAUUCACUAAUCACACCAGCAGGUGUACAUGUAGCAAGCCACGUUUCCGCCAUGCUAUUGUGAACAUAUGGCAGACCGAAUACAUGAGACUUGUUAAUGAGGUGCAGGAAUUUCUGUACUUUUAAAUGGAAGACUAUGUUAACUAUAUCGUCUCCGUCUUAUGAAGUUAAAUUGGUGUUAAAUUUUUUUUAUUUCCGGCCAAUUUGGAUUACAUGGUGAAGAUAUUAAUAAAUCAGGGCCCGGCAGUCGUAAGCGAGCAAGUAAUCGUAUCGAGUGAAAUUUCGUAACGUGUCGAGUGUGCGGAUCGUCGCACUCGAUACGAAACGAAUAGAAAUUUUAUGAAAUAACUACCUUGGCAUAGCUCUAAAUGGCAUUUUCAAAUAACAUGAAAUACAAAAUAAAAGGAAAAAGCAAUAAAAUGAACCCUAGUGUUUUUUUUACAAGUUACUCUGAUUCAGAUGAGAAACAUCACCAAAUGGCCGUAAGGUCCAGGAUUCGUGAUAAAAGUAAUCCUAUGGCUUUACCUGAUGCAGCGAAGCGGUUUAGACUGACCAAAGACGCAUUUACUAUCA